GAUGAACGCUGGCGGCGUGCCUAAUACAUGCAAGUCGAGCGAAUGGAUUAAGAGCUUGCUCUUAUGAAGUUAGCGGCGGACGGGUGAGUAACACGUGGGUAACCUGCCCAUAAGACUGGGAUAACUCCGGGAAACCGGGGCUAAUACCGGAUAACAUUUUGAACCGCAUGGUUCGAAAUUGAAAGGCGGCUUCGGCUGUCACUUAUGGCUGGACCCGCGUCGCAUUAGCUAGGUGGUGAGGUAACGGCACACCAAGGCAACGAUGCGUAGCCGACCUGAGAGGGUGAUCGGCCACACUGGGACUGAGACACGGCCCAGACUCCUACGGGAGGCAGCAGUAGGGAAUCUUCCGCAAUGGACGAAAGUCUGACGGAGCAACGCCGCGUGAGUGAUGAAGGCUUUCGGGUCGUAAAACUCUGUUGUUAGGGAAGAACAAGUGCUAGUUGAAUAAGCUGGCACCUUGACGGUACCUAACCAGAAAGCCACGGCUAACUACGUGCCAGCCGCCGCCGUAA
Molecule: ribosomal RNA, 515 nt
Filed under: uncultured bacterium
Lineage: Bacteria
Description: partial 16S ribosomal RNA
Rfam family: Bacterial small subunit ribosomal RNA
Source: RNAcentral